RNAcentral lists this ribosomal RNA (253 nucleotides) under uncultured bacterium. Its description in RNAcentral is "partial 16S ribosomal RNA". It matches the Rfam family "Bacterial small subunit ribosomal RNA", at positions 524 to 776 of the family's 1533-position model. The record is from RNAcentral.
UACGGAGGGUGCAAACGUUAAUCGGAAUUACUGGGCGUAAAGCGCGCGUAGGCGGUUUGUUAAGUGGGAUGUGAAAGCCCCGGGCUUAACCUGGGAACUGCAUUCCAAACUGACAGGCUAGAGUUUGGUAGAGGGAGGUGGAAUUUCCUGUGUAGCGGUGAAAUGCGUAGAUAUAGGAAGGAACACCAGUGGCGAAGGCGGCCUCCUGGACCAAAACUGACGCUGAGGUGCGAAAGCGUGGGGAGCAAACAGG